Molecule: transfer RNA, 87 nt
Filed under: Planctomycetia bacterium
Lineage: Bacteria; Pseudomonadati; Planctomycetota; Planctomycetia
Description: tRNA-Ala
Source: RNAcentral
CGGCCGUGCUGGCAUGGCCGCGGAUGCAGGCCGCCGGCAGUGGCCUGUGGCCAGCCGCGCAGCGGCGGUCGCCGCCGCACGCCCGAC